RNAcentral lists this long non-coding RNA (19208 nucleotides) under Gossypium barbadense (sea-island cotton). RNAcentral describes it as "long non-coding RNA (GBAR_LNC009808)". The stretch from base 2160 to 2303 matches the Rfam family "MIR7502 microRNA precursor family". The record is from RNAcentral. Lineage: Eukaryota; Viridiplantae; Streptophyta; Magnoliopsida; Malvales; Malvaceae.
GAGUAACGGUGAGAGAAGUGUUGAAAUACUCCCUCACUUGGGUGAUUAUCCCAUCACGAACAGUCCAAGCGUGAACCCAGGAGAUCGAACGGCUGUUAUCACAGCCUUCAACGAUGACGGUGGAUCCAAAGGUGGUGACUGAGACAGGGUCGACCUCGAAACGGAAAGGAUCGUCGGAUGAAGCGCCGGUGAGUAAGCGCAUCAAAAACUGGUGAGUGGGUGGACCGUGGAACCACCACUCUAGGUCGGGAGCAAGGAUUUGGUGAACGGUGUUGACGUCUCGUGUGUUUAAGGCUUCAUAGAGGGCAAGAACCACCGCUUGGUUCUUGUUGGUUUCCUCCACGGUUUUUUGCUGUGCGUUAGCCAGUUCUUAGCAAAACGAACCAAAAUAGCAAAGCAAAGAAGAUUUGGUUUUGUGCAAUCAAAAGAGAACCGGCGAGGGGUCUUAUGUGAGGAUGUAAGGAGAAAGGGGUUUAUAUAGAAAAAAACAGGUGAUUUUGGGUUUUGAUUCGCUACACCCGUUUCUUGUUUCAUAAUCUAAGCUAAUGAGGACAAGAGAGAAGAAUGGGGGUUACGUGGCUGGACACGAGUGGAUUUGGCGACAAAGUGGGUCCCAUAGCUGAUGAAUAAUCAGAUUUUAUCGUACGCGGCUAUGUGGGGAUGAUGACAGGUAGCAAAUAGUCAUCAAAAAAAUUCUGCUGGACCCAAUUUGAUUAUUUAAUUUCAAAAAUAUUAUAAAAUAGUCAUUAAAUUAUUUAAAAAAAUUAUUUCUCUUAAAUUCUUUUAAAAAGUUAGACUAACGAGUUUUAAGCAACGAUUCAAUGAUUGGUACGGUGAAUUAAUAUCUAUCGGCAAGUAGAUAAACAUACUUUAGAUGCAACUAAUUUGACAAUCAGUGUCAAAGAUCGAAAAAGAAACUAUUUAAAUUUUAGUUUAAAGUUAUGUCACGAAAAAGAUUGAGUUGUAGAGGAGAAGGGAAAGGAAAGUGUUCGAUUGGUACAAGUGGUGCGAAUAAAAGUUAUGCAACAACGAUUUUAACAAUUUAAUAACUUAAAUAAUGAUACCUUUCAAAUAGUUCAAUGAUCACUUUGUAACUUGUUGAACUUAAGUAAUCAAAAUGUAAGCUUACUAAUAGUUUAAUGACAUUUGACAAUUUAACUUCCAGUUAUAGAUUAAUUUCAUCAUAUCUCCUCAAACUAUAACACAAAUUUUAAAUUAGUCCAAAAUUUCAAAACCUACUAAUUGAGUUGUAAAAAUAUCGACUUUGUAUCAAUUAAGUUCUUUUGUUAGCGUGUAGAUAUUAAAUUUUUUUUAAUGGUAAUGUAAAUUUCUUAUUUUUUCUUGUUUCAUCCUUUCGGAUUGGAAAUCUAAUUAAGUAUAAAACCUCAUUCAACUUUCCUUCUUCUUUUAAGUAACACAUCAUAGAAAUAGAAAAUUUUGACGAAUCGAGUAAUGUAUACUUGAAAAGUGGAAGAGGUUUUUAGUUUUUAACAAGCAAUAUCACAGCAAGCAAAAUGGCAAAAAAAAUUGGCUCCCUUAUAUUAAUGGCACAAACUUUAUUUUUUGUUACAUAUCAAGGAUUAUAUGUAUACGUGAUAGGUUGUUUUCAUUUCACAUCACCUUAGUUUUCAUUUCAAUUUAGUCACUAAUUGGUUUUUUGUCUCACACGAUAGGCAUUUUCAUUUCAUAUCGACUCAAUUUUUUUUCUUAAGGAUUUAACCAUUCAUGGUUUUUGUUUCAUUUGAUGGGAUGUGUUUGUUUUUUUCUCUUUUUUGUCUAGAACUAAGCAUAGUUCCUUACUUACCUGUAAAUAGAAAGGCAAUGCGUUUCAGCUCCCUUGAACCCGCAUUCUUUUACAUUGAUAACAAUAUUCAUAUCAAUCUAGCUAGAAAUCCUCAUAUAUCAUUAAUUAAAAGUCCAAACAAUUUUGAUUCAAAGCAUACCAAAGCAAGUUACAAUAACCGUGUGUUGAGAAAUGUUCCCAAGUUGCAAUUGAUGUUAUAUCUAAUAGUUGUAAUUGACACCAACAAAUAGGUUUUAUAUGGUGAAAGUACCAUAAAGGUUCUUGUGCUAAGAGUUAAUUUGUAUUUUGUUCUUUCUACUAAAAAACAGACAAAUUAAUUCAUAUAUGUUAAAUUAAAGAGUAAAUUGGUUCUUUUUGUCAAAAAUUUAACCAUUUGUAUUGUUAAAAAUUGGCAUGAUUGGUGAAAUAAUCAGACAAUGACACAUAGCGUGUCAUAUGUACCUAAUGCUAACGUAUCGAGACCAGCUUUUAAUAGUAAAAAUGUAUGAAAUUUUUAACAAAAUGAUUAAUUUGUUCUUCCAUUUAACGUUUACAAAGACUAUUUUUUUUAAAUAAAAUGACAAAAUACAAUCCAACUCUUAAUACAAAAAAUCUGGUUAGCCUGAUUGACCAUGGUAAAUAAUAGUUGGUGUUGGCUUGGAGACAGGCCAUGCUCAUCUAUCAUCUAUCAUCUAUCAUCGUUACAGCACUAAAAAGGGUCCCUCCUCGGCCUUUUGAUCAAGAUCAAACGCCUAUUGUAGUCCCCAAAUUGUCUAGUCCAAAAGUGGUCCUCAAUUGUCCCUACCACUAUCACAUUCCCUGAAUCAGGAUGUAAGGUUGAAUACUUUGCAAAAGUGCAGACAAUUGCUCCAAUAGCUUGCCAAUGUAGCUAGAAUUGAAAGAUGGUAAUAUUUUGGAAGGUAGAGAUUAAUGUGACAAGGACCCAAAUUGCUCAACUGAUGUGGAUUAAGAUAUGAUUUGUCAAUUUCCCCAUAAACUUUUUCCUGAAAAAAAAAACUAAAAAUGUUAACAGACAAAAAAAAGUGAGUGAUGCUUUGUUAUAUUAGGAUCAUGGAAGCUUUUUGAGCUGGAAAUUUCAAUUUCAAUGAGCUAUAUGCUUCCUAUGGAAAUCAAAUCAAUGAGCUAUUGCCUGAAAUGGCUGAUGGUUAAAAGCACCUAGUCUCCCAAAUGGAUUUAGCCCUAGUGGGGGUGGGUCAAUCAAGUUCCUUUCAACUUAAUUGCUAUUCGUUUAGGGGAACCAUGAAAGGAUAUAUUUUGCAUAAAUGGCACCAACAACCAUGAAAAUUAGUUUUUAUUUAUUUAUUGUUAGUGUCUUUUUUACUUUGAGUUUUAUAAUUGUCUCUUUCAAUAAUAUUAUAUUCAAAAUUUGAACUUACGAUCUCCUUUAAGAAUAUAAUGUACUUUGUCAUUGCACCAACACUUAUUAAUACAAUGUAAAUUAAUUGUCCUUAUUUAGAUCAUUGGUUGUAUCAAUCCCCAUUUGAUGAAAAAGAAAGUGUUGAUUUCACUACAUGCCCUUAAACUAUAAUUUAAAUUUUAAAUUAAUUUACAAAUUUUAAAACAUUUUACUUAAAUCUUUUAAAAUGUUAAUAUAGUCUUAAAUUGGUGUGCUAUUACCAUAAAUGGGUCAUGAUUAAAAGCAACUAGUCUCCCAAAAGGAUUUAACCCUAGUGGGGUUGGGUCAAUCAACUAUCUUUCAAUUUAAUGUUGGGGGAUAAAUUUGUGUAAGCAACAAAUAAGAAAAAUAACGAAAAAAUUAAAAAGAUCGAACAUAUAAAUUUUAUGUGGAAAAACUCUUUCAAAGAGGAUAAAAAAUUAUGGGUAAAGAUAAUUUCACUAAAUCGACAAAAAUGAAGAGUACAAAAAUUGGAGAUAAAAACUAAACCUUGAAGCCCGAAAAUAAAAUUCUUUGAAAGCUUGUGAAAGAGAAUACUCAAAUGUGUUAUGUGUUAAUCUUUCUAAGGUAGAAAAUGGUCCAUUUAUAGGUUAAAUUCGUAAGUCAAAUAAUCUUUAAAAAACCUACACUAAUCAGAGUUUGACAUGGACAAAUAAUCAAAAUUUGAUUGGAAGAGGAAAAUCAAGAAAAUGGUAUGAUACGUCACCACGCAUUCUAUCGUGUUGUCGUGACGUCAUUUCUGCUUCUCCCUUGUUUCAUCGUCGCAUUGUUGAGGCAUUACUCUUGAUUUAUGUCUUAAUUUGACUGAAAUGCGAGGCAUACCCACACAAUUGCUAUUUGUUUAGGGCAACCAUGAACGAUAUAUACCGCAUUAGUGGUACCAAGAACAUUGUAAAUUAGUUUGAUACCCACCUAUUGUAGCAAUUCCCAAUUGAUGAAAAAGACAAGGUUAAUUCCAUUCAACGUCCUCAAAUUAUAAUACGAAUUUUAAAUUAAUCUUAAAAUUUUAAAACAUUCUAAUUAAAAUUUUAAAGUGUUAGUAUUGUGUCAAUUAAUCAAAUCAUUUUGUCAACUCAAUAUCAACUUAAGAGUUAAAUGUUAAUUCAUGAUCUUACAUAUAGUAUAUUUAAAACACAUAAAUUAAAAUUUGAAUACGUUUGCACCUAUCGCACGGAUAGCUUGAUUCACACAUGUUAAAAAAUAGUGCUACUAGAUUUUAAUGGUGUUGUCCUUUUUAUAACAUAUUGUAACGCCCCCUAACCCUAUACCGUCAUCGGAAUAGGGUUACGAGACAUUACCAGUCAGUACAGUCCAAUUUCGGUCAUUAAUUAAAAUAAAUAUUUACACACAUCCUAGUUUUAAGAUGUCGUCCCUUUAAUGGGCCCUCGCGGUCCAAUAUGAACAGUAAAUUUCAAAAUUCAUACUACAUACCAUUGCCAACCAUAAUUUACUCAUUUCAUGAGUACAUCUACAACCUAAAUGACUCUCAUAAAACAUCCUAGGUACAUGCCAUUACCAAUAAUUAACACACUUUACCUUAAUGAAUUCGGGAUCGAACUGGGAUGCUGAUUCAACGUUCUAUCUUUACUAAACCUGCGCACGGAAACAAACCGUACGCUGAGUAUGGUAUACUCAGUGGUAUUUCCAUAAUCCGAACACUUAAUAAUAUAACAAUUAAACUUAAAACCACAAUAACAAUUAUAAGUAUUCAUUUAUUUGUUUUAUAGAUAAAUUUUCAAUUACUUACCAUAUAAAUUCUAUACAAGUCAUAUAACAAACACAAUAACAUAUUUGUUCAAUUCUUUUCAUUUACUUACCGUAUAAAUUCUAUACAAUAUAUUCACAAUUCACUUGUUUUCACACUUUAUUUCUUAACAAUAUACCAUUUUAAUUCAUUUUAACAUCAAUCAUCAUCCAUUUGAACUUCACUCAUUUCAUGAACCUUUUGGUUCAUGUUUUCAAUCUCAUAUCUCAAUUUCAAUUCUCAAUUCAAUUUCUCAUUUCAUUCCAAUAGCUCAAUCAAUCAAAUUCACUCGACUUAUCUUUUCACUUAUUUACCCCUAUUAACAAGACUCGGACCUUGGCGGAUACACGGAUCCAACCAAACACACCAAUAUGGCACCCAGUGCCUCAUCGGAUAGUUUGAAGCAAUAUUUGACACCCAGUGUCUCAUCGGCCUAGCCGAAGUAAAGUUGGUACCCAGUACCUCAUCGAAUCUAUCCGAAGAAAUAUAGUGACACCCAGUGUCUCAUCGACUCGAGGUCGAAGAAUCCCUGAACACUUCCAAUCCUAUGGCAUGCCAACUAUAUCCGACUCAGCCCGAUACUGUUAAUAGGGUAUUCAAUUCACUUUCAAUUUUUUUCAAUCAAUACACAUUUUAAUUAAUCACAUAAAUUCAUAAUUCAAUACAAUUCAAUUCACUUUUCAAUAACAAAUAUCCAAAUAUCACAAAUCUCAUAUUUAAAAUUUUCAAACAAUUUAUAUUUCAAUUCAAUUCAAAUAAUCAAUAUAUAUUCAAUAUUCAAUAUAUAUAUCUAUAUAUAUACGCCAAUUUAAUCAAUAUAAAUUCAAUAAUUUCAUCACAUACUAUAUCAAUCCAUUUCAUUUGCAAAACACAAUAAUUCUUACUUCAAAACACUUAAUAUACAUAUUAAGAAAUAAAUUCAACAAUUAAGUAUUAGGUUCGGAUUAUAGAAAUACAAACCGUAAUUUUCAAGCUAACUCCCGUUGACUUUGUCUUGUCCUUUCUUAGCCGAGAUUUCUGGUAUCACAUUGACUACGAAAUUAAUACAAUUUAUAAUCAUUAAUACAUUACUAAUUCAUAUCUUGAGUUAUAGAAUUCUAAAUUAAGAUCCGCUAAUUUUUCCUGAAACUAGACUCACAAAUCUUCUUACAAUAAAAUUUUCAGAAUUUUUGGUUUAGCCAUUAAGUACAGUUUAUUCUUUAAGUUCACCCCUAUUCUGCUGUCUGACAGUUUCGUCCCUUCUUCACUAAAAAUUAAUUAUCUCACAGUACAGAACUCGGAUAACAUUCUCGUUGAUUUCUAAUGAAAAUAGACUCAUUACGGAUUCUAAAAAUAUAACUUUAAUCCUCUAAAUAUUUUUAUUAAAUUUUUGGUGAUUUUCCAAAGUCAGAACAGGGGAACCCGAAUUCAUUCUGACCUUGUCUCACAAAAUUCAUUAUAUCUCAUAAUUUACAAUUCAAUUGCUUAUAUCGUUUCUUCUAUAAGAAACUAGACUCAAUAAUAUUUAAUUUCAUAUUUUAUUCAUCCUCUAAUUCAAUUUCUACAAUUUUUGGUGAUUUUUCAAACUUAGACUACUGCUGCUGUCCAAAAUAGUCUUAGUACAAAAUGUUGAUUUUCAAUUUAAUUCUAACUAAAUUCACUUACUUUUCUAUCUUAAUUCAUACUUUAUUUCUAUUCAAAUUUCAUCCAUACUCUCAUUUAAAUAUUAAAUUUCCAGCAUACUUUCCUAAUUUCAAAAUUUCAUCAAUUUAGUCCCUACAACAUAAAACUUAUAACUUACUUUACAAUUUGAUCCUAUUAUCAAUUCUAGCUUGAAAUUUACUCAAUUAAACCCUUAAUUCACUAUUUUAUUCAACAUGAACUAUACUUGAAAAUCUAUAAACUCUCAAAAUAUCAACUUAAUUUCAUCAAAGUCUUGUUCCAAAGCUUCUAAAACAUCAAAAUUUAAGAAGAAAUGACUUAAUUGACUUACUAAAUUAAACUUUGAGCCUUGAAACCCAAAUUUUCCUUUUUCUUUUUCUUUCUUUCUUUCUCCCCUGUUUCUUCUCUGUUUCGUUUGCUUUCAUUCUGUUUCUUAUGUUUCUUUACUUAUUUAUAUAAUAUAAUAUAUAAUAUAAUAUACUAUAAUAUAAUAAUAAUUUAAUAUAUAUUUUAACACAUAAAAAAUCUCAGAUUUUUAUGUUUAUGCCGCCUCACUUAGGACAAAUGGCAUAAUUGCCAUUUUGGUCCUCUUCAUUUUCUUUUAUUCUACAAUUCAACUUUCAUCCUUUAUUCAAUUUAGUCAUUUUUCCUAAUUACUCUUAAUUAAACUAAAUUUACUUAAUUAAACUCUAAUUAACCACUCAAUUGACUUCGUAAAUAUUUUUAAUAAAUAUUUACGAAUCCAUUUUUCAAAAACAGAGACCCGAAAAUACACUUUUUCGGUAACGGUAAAAUUCGGGUCGUUACACAUAUCAUAUCCAAAUUGUUGACACAAUAGGCAAAUAAGUGUUAAAAUUUUAAUCCAUGUAUUUUAAAUGUGCUCCACAUUAGAUUCAAGCUAGCAUUUAAUGCAUACUUGACAUUAGAUUAGUGGAAGGACUUAAUUGACAUAAUACUAAUAGUUGAAAUUUAGGAACUAAUAUAAAAUAUGGAUCAUAGUUUAGAGACGCUUGCUGAACAUAACCCAAAAAUAAAAGUCAACAAACAGUUCAAUUACUCAACGAGUAGAAACCAGCCUGUAACCAUUAGUUGCGGUGCGGUGGUUGCUCAGUUCAUUUUUUAACUAUGUGUUCGAUGGUUCAAUCCCUAUUCAUAAGAAUGAAGCACGUUUCAUAACUAACCGUUUACUUCUUCAAAGAGCAAAGCGAGGAUUUCACAAAAUUUUAUUAUUAUUUUUGCACCAAUUUCAAUGAACAUUCAACUUUGAUGAUACAACGUUCACCAGCCUAUAUUGUCAAAUUGUGCCACCUAUGCCAAACUUACUUCAUCUCUAAUGUCGUUUUUUUCCCCGAAAAGAGCCAAGGUUAAUUUGCAAACGAAAGCAACCUAAAUUUUCUGUCCUCUAAUGAAGGAGCUGUCCUCAAUAAUACGCUCAUUUAUGCUAUUUUAUGAUUUCAGAUGUAUAUUAUUAGCAUGUAUCCUUUUUGGGGGGGCUUUCCAAUGGUGGCUACUAGUACAGGGCGGUGCUUGCUUGUAAGGGCGUAGCUUAGAUGGCAAGAAGAGGGGCUUUUGCCCCUUAAUUAAGUGGCUCAAUGCAAAAGUUUGGCUUUUGAUUGGCAUACAAGGUCACGUUCCAUUAACAUUUUAAUCCAAUAAUUAGGUUGAUAGUCAAAUCGAUUAGACAUAAACUUUUAAUUUGAACGACUCUAUUUUAAAAAGUUACAAAUUUAUCACUAAAAUAUUUAAAAAUUUUCAUUUAAAUAAAUGAAUGAUUCAAAAUUUUUAUUUAAGUCAUUAAGCUGUUAAGGUUUUUUUUUUUUAAAGUUUAACUAGUGAACUCCAAGUGAAUUUAAUAGAUAGUACAGUAGAUCAGUACCCAUUGACAAGUAAAAAAACAUAUCAUAAAUGUAAGUCGAUCAGACAAUCAUUGUCGGAGAUUGGAGAAGAAAACUGUUUGGAUUUUAAUUUACAGAUUUGUGAAGUUUAAAGCUUUUUAUAAAAAAAAACUAAAUGCAAGCGGUAUGAACAAAGAAGGGCAUACAUUAGCGAUUUUAAAAUUUAAUAAUCCAAAGACUUAAAUGAAAAUUUUCAAAUAAUUCAAUAAUCAUUUUGUAAUCUUUUAAAGUUAAGGGACCAAAUUAAAAAUUUACUAAUAAUUUAUCGACUUUAAACAUAAUUUACCCUUAAAUAAAUAAUUAAAAAACUAAUAAAAACUAAAAAUCAAUGCAACUAAUUCAAUCCUCGAUUUUUUAUUCUAAUUUUUAAUUUUUCACCGAUUCCGAACAAUUCACUAAAACCGUUAAAUAUAUCUGAACCGAUAUAUCAACUAAUUUUUUAUUCAACCGAUUUAAUAUCAGUAUCUUCCAUUUAGAUACCAUCAACCCUUUAGACAGCGUGAAGUUGCUGGCUAUGAUUAUGACGUAUGCAAAAAAAAAAAAUCGUCAGUAAGUACCCAAAAAUUGCAGCUACCUCGUAACUUCGCAAGCAAUUUUCUAUUGACAGAUAUUGUCCUCGUCACUGUCCGACCAGCUUACCCAACUCAAAUAAAGAAUUUUUAUGUUAAAUUGUAGUUUUGGUCCUUCUACUAUAUUCAAUUUAAAGAUUUAGUCUCUAUACUAAUUUUAUUUAUUUACUUUUAUAAUAUUAUUGAUUAUUUCGAAUAGUUUACAUUAUUAACCAUUCUAAUUAAAUUCUGAUUUGGAUUUAAAAAGAAAAAAGAAACCAUACUUUCCGGCCCCAUAAAAUCUACGUUAGCAAUAUGAGUUAGAAUUUUUUUUUUGAAAUUGAAGUAUUAUUUUAAUUAAAAUUGUUAAUGGCGUUACCUAUUUAUAUUAGUUAAUAACAGUAUAUAAAAAGGAUUAAAUUAAGCUAAAUUAAAAUAUAAGGACUAAAUUAUAAAUUUGGAAUUAGUAGGUGAACAAGAACUAUAAAUUAACAUUUUUCUCGCAUGCGUGUUUAGGUGUGAGAUUUUCUACCUGUAACGCGAUACAGAUCUGAUGUGAAUUAUGUUAUCAAGUUAGGUUAAUAGUAUAAUUGACAGAGCUAAACUAUUAAAAUAAAUAUUUUAGUUAUUUAUGUUUGAAAUAUUAUGUAUUAGUCACUUACAUUAUUAUUUUAUUACGAAAUGAUCCUUCUGUCGUUAAAAUCUGUUACCUCUCAAACAAAAAUCUGACAUGACAAUUAAAAUGAGUUUUAGGCCAAAAAAAACCCUAAUUGUUGCUUGUUUUUAAAUUGGAGAAAAUUGAGUUUUAAGCAAAAUUUUGUAUUUUAUUUUCAUAAUUUUUUUUAACUUUUCUUAUUCCGACUGGACAUCCACAUUGACAUUCAAAAUUUUGUAUUUUAUUUUCAAAAUUUCAAAUAUAAAUUAUAAUAUUUAAUAGGGAAAACAUUUGGUACACUGUUAAUGAAGUUUUUAGAUUUCAUAAGUCGGGUCAAGGGGUUGACAAAUAUCCUAUAUUAGAAAGGAGCUAUAAGUAAUUUUAAGAAUUAUAUAAAAAAACAGAUAUAAUUAGAACAAUAAUAAGAUUGUUCAAUACAUAUAAUUUUUAAGCACAAAAGUGUAAACUUAAUGUAUUGUGUGAAAUUAGAAUUUGCAAAAGCAUAUAGUUGCCACUAGAAAAGUAUUAUAUUAUAUGCUUUUCACUUUCACUAUCCAUUUGGUUUUUUUGGUCUCAUUUAUGGCUUUCGUAUGUCAUUUGGCUUUCUAAUUUCAGAGAUAAACUCCAAUCCUUUAUUUAAUUUUUUUUAAAUUAAAAAGAUAAUUAAUUGAUUUAGUUAAAAAAAUGAUUUAAUUUUUUUUAAAAGGUUAAUGGUCAAAUUUAGUUCAAGAAAAUAUUAAAAUGAAAAAUUAUGUAAAUAUUAAGGGCUAAAUUUAGUAUUAUGCAAAAAUAAAAAUAUUAACAGAAUUUCAUAGUUUUGUUAAAUGUAUGGAGUUACUAUUUGGUACAAUGAUAAUGUUCUUUUUUUUUUAAAUUCUGAAAAAUGACUUUAAAAAAUUGUCAUGUCUCUUUUUUUUUAAAUAUUUAUUUUUAAUACUCUAUUGUACAUUUAUAUUCCAACCCAUAAAUACGAGAACUAUGUACUUCAGUGCACUUAAACUCAUAUCAUCUUGUAUUGACAAUAAUAUUAAUACAAAUUGAAUUAAGACCCAAUCGACGUAUUUAAUAUAUUUUAACUUUAAAACUUCAAAACUAAAUUAACAAAUUUAGUUGGUGAGGAAAAAAGGAAAUGGCAUAUUUUGGGGCAUAACCUUUUGAAAAUGGAGAUACUACAGCAUAUAUAUUUAGGAAUCAUAUGCUUUAUAAUUUUAGUUAGUUCAGAUCCUUAAAUAUAUGAUAUUGACUUGUUUAAUUAAUUUAAUUAUCCCUUUUUUUUCAUUUAAAUUGGCCCACAAAAACAAGAUAAUACAAUAAAUAAAUAAUUAAACAAUAACACUGGUAAUUUAGGGGAGGAAUAAAAGAGUAAUAAUACUAAUUACUUACUUUCACUUUUUUUUUUUUACUUACAUUUGCUUUCUAUAAAUUGAUUGGUAAAUAUUGAGAUUUUUGAGUAUUUGAGUACAAUAUUCAAGUUCAAUCAUGCAUGAUUGUCAUUAGGGAUAUACCGAAGAAAAAAUUUUAGGGAUUGAGAUUAAGUUAUAUAUUUUUUGAAAGGUUAAUAUACGAUUCCACUCUUGUAUUAACUUAUAUCAUUAUGGUUUUUAAAAUACUGAAAAAAUAUAACAUUUUUGGAGUGAAAUUAUUAUUUUACCAUAUAUAUAAAUUUUGAGGGUCUAAAAUAGAAAUUUUCCAUUUUAAGAGAUCAGAGCCCUUGCCAAUCCUAUUUUGUUCUUGUACAUUUUAUUUAAUUCUAUUUUAUAAUUAUUAGAAUAUAUAUUUGUAAUCCUAAUCUACUUGUUUAUAAACUCUAAAAAAAUGGAAAGGAAAGAAGGAAUUGGUCACCACAUCUCCAUGCUAAAUUUGAGUUGAAAAUUGGAUAUAUUCAUGUGGUAGAAAGCGAUACAUUCAUAUGGAUCAUUUAAUAUUCCCCAUUUAUUUUUGGGCAUAUGCUUUUGAUAUCGAAUAUUACUCAUAAUUUAUAUAUUUAUAUAUAUAUGUGUGUAAAAUAAUCAAAUAGCUCUUCUUGGUCCUGUAUGAUAUGAUUUGCUUCUUAUCAUGUAAUAUUCACUAUUUUUGUUGUAUGAUUAAAACUUGCAAAUCUAAAAUCAAACAUUCUAUGAGAUUUUUUUUUGGUAGUAAAUAGUAAAUAUGUUUGGUUAAAAUAUAUCAUAAAUUCUUAUAAUUUUUGAAAAUUUAAAAUUUAAUCUGUAUUUUUAUUUUUAAGAAUUUUAUUUUAUUUAUAUAAGUCAUGUCCCGACAAGAAUAUUUAAUGUAAAUUUAGUAGGAUCAAGAAAAAGGUUAGAGGCGUCGUUCUAGAAAACGAAAGACACUUUAACCUUCUCUAGAACUUUAUUGAUAUUCUAUUAAAAUCUACUAAUUAGUUUUUUCAUUACAUCUUUUGGUUGAAGUAUCGGAAAGUGUUUCGAAAUAUAAGUUUUUAUUGGAACCCACCCAUUGUUUGAAAAGUCAAAAAGGGUGGGCACCGAAAGUAGAAAGUAAAAUUGGUUGGCAAGUUGGGUUAAAAGUUGGCAUGGGAUAAUUGCAAUUUUGGUCCCUAAUUGUAUAGGGACAUUGCAAGUUGAUCCUUGAACCUCAACUAUAAAUAGGCCUAACCAUUUCUUACUUUCUUCAUCCCACACUUGCCAUUCUCUACUUAGGGCAAUUGUUCUCUCUCCCUAUUUGUAAACUUUCACUUGUAUUUUUGGAGUGAAAUAUAUUUGGUAGUGCCCGAGGACGUAGGCAAAAUUUGCUGAACCUCGUUAAAAUUCUAGUGUUCUUUAUUUUUUUGUUCUGCAUAUUUUGCAAGUGUCAUUGUAGUAAUUUAUUGUGCUAUUAAAUUACGAUAGAUGGAUAUUCUGGCUAGGAAAGAUCUGGUAUGUAAGCGAUCCUCGUGAUCCACCUCUCUUUCCUGGGAAUUGAACUUAGUGUGAUUUUUCAGUACAAUAAUUUUACUCUUUCACACGCUUCCGCGCAACAAUUGGUACCAGAGCCAGGUUCGUACUUGGGGAAUACGACCGUUUACGGUACUAUUCACGUAUACGGCACUAUUCACGUAUAUAGUACUAUUCACGUAUACGGCACUAUUCACGUAUACGGUACUGUUCACGUAUACAGUAGUUGGGAUUGAGGAGAAAAAUGGCAGCAGCAUCGUCAUCAGCAAGGACUACUGUGACAAAUGCAAAAUUUGAAGUAGAGAAAUUUGACGGUACCAAUAAUUUUGGUAUGUGGCAGUGUGAGAUCCUGGAUGUCUUAUGUCAGCAAGAGCUGGAUAUAGCCCUUGAAGAAAAACCUGACAAGAUGGAUGACAAGGAGUGGGCCAAGAUCAAUAGACAGGCGUGUGGUACAAUCCGCCUAUGUUUGGCCAAAGAGCAGAAGUACUCCGUCAUGAGGGAGACAUCAGCGAAGAAGCUGUGGGAUACAUUGGAAGAAAAGUUUCUCACGAAAAGUCUUGAAAAUAGGCUUUAUAUGAAAAAGAAACUUUUUCGGUUCACGUAUGCACCCGGUAUGUCGAUGAAUGACCAUGUGAACUCAUUCAAUAAAAUUUUAGCAGACUUGCUAAAUUUGGAUGAGAAAUUUGAAGAUGAAGACAAGGCAUUAUUGUUGUUGAAUUCCCUUCCUGAUGAAUAUGAUCAUCUUACCACCACAUUGCUUCAUGGGAAAGAUUCAAUCACAUUUGAUGCAGUCUGUAGUGCGUUGUAUAGAUCUGAGACUCGAAAGAAAGAUAAAAGAGAUCACAGAGAUACAACUGCAGAAGUCUUAACAGUAAGAGGUCGUUCACACAGCAGCAAACCUGGUAGAAGGGGAAAGUCCAAAGGGAGACCCGCCAAAGAUGAAUGUGCCUUUUGUCGUGAGAAAGGGCAUUGGAAAAAGAAUUGUCCUAAGUUACAAAAGGGCAAGUCUAUUUCUAAUGCAUGUGUAGCGGAGCAUGAUGAGGAGUCAGACUUUAGCUUGGUUGGCAUGGCAAUGGCAUGUCAAACGGAUGAGUGGAUAUUGGAUUCGGGAUGUACUUACCAUAUGUGUCCUAAUAAGGACUGGUUUUCUAGUCUUGAAGAACUAGAAGGUGGAGUUGUUUUUAUGGGCAAUGAUAGUGCCUGUAAGACAAUGGGUGUAGGUACAAUCAAAUUGAAGAACCAUGACGGCUCAAUCCAAGUUCUGACAGAUGUUCGCUAUGUACCCAGCUUGAAGAAAAAUCUCAUCUCAUUAGGGGCCCUAGAAUCUAAAGGGCUCACAAUCACUUUGAGAGAUGGAUUACUAAAGGUAGUAGCUGGGGUAUUGACGGUGAUGAAAGGCACUAGAAGAAAUAACUUGUACUAUUUAAAUGGAAGUACAGUUAUUGGAUCAACAUCAACAGCUUCUGCGAAAGAUGCAGAUUCAGAGGCUACCAGGUUAUGGCAUAGGCGAUUGGGACAUGCUGGUGAAAAAGCUUUGCAGACUUUGGCGAAGCAAGGCUUGUUGAAAGGUGCAAAUUCUUGCAAAUUGGAAUUCUGUGAACAUUGUGUUCUGGGCAAGCAGACGAGGGUAAAAUUUGGUUCAGCAAUUCACAAUACGAAAGGAAUUCUGGACUAUGUUCACAGUGAUGUGUGGGGACCUACCAAAGUGGCUUCUUUGGGAGGUAUGCACUAUUUUGUCACUUUUCUUGAUGAUUAUUCAAGAAAAGUAUGGGUGUAUCUAAUGAAAAGAAAAAAUGAAGUUUUGGAUGCAUUUCUGAAGUGGAAGAAGAUGGUGGAGACUCAGACAGGUCGAAAGGUCAAACGACUUCGAUCAGAUAAUGGUACUGAGUACAAAAAUGAUCCAUUUCUACAAGUAUGUCAAUAUGAGGGCAUUGUGCGACACUUCACUGUUCGAGAUACACCACAGCAGAAUGGGGUGGCAGAACGCAUGAAUCGGACUAUACUGGAGAAAGUUCGAUGUAUGUUGUCCAAUGCUGGAUUGGGCAAGGAAUUUUGGGCUGAGGCAGUUACAUAUGCGUGCCAUCUAAUUAACCGAUUGCCAUCAGCUGCAAUAAAUGGAAAAACUCCUAUGGAGAUGUGGACUGGUAAACCUGCUACUGAUUAUGAUUCUUUACAUGUUUUUGGUUCCACUGCAUAUUAUCAUGUAAAAGAAUCUAAGUUAGACCCAAGAGCAAAGAAAGCAUUAUUCAUGGGUAUAACUGGUGGUGUAAAAGGAUACCGUCUCUGGUGUCCUGAUACAAGGAAGAUUGUUUUCAGUAGAGAUGUAACUUUUGAUGAAUCAACCAUGAUGAAGAACGAGGAUUCACAAAAGGAUGACAAAACCAGUAGUACUUUGCAGCAGGUGGAGUUUGAAAAGGUUAAUGAUGAUCCAGCUAAUAUUGAAAGAACAAAUGAUGAAGAAGUUUCGACCCAAGAACUUCUACAGCAACAAGAUUCAAUUGCAUAUAGGAGGCCAAGAAGAGAGAUUCGUAAGCCUGCUCGCUUUGACGAUAUGGUGGCCUAUGCACUUCUAAUUGCAGAUGAUGAUGUUCCUUCCACUUACACAGAAGCAAUAAGUAACUCUGAUGGUGUAAAGUGGAAGCAAGCUAUGAAUGAAGAAAUGCAGUCUCUUCAUAAAAAUAGGACUUGGGAGUUGGUGAGACUGCCCAAGGGAAAGAAGGCAAUUGGAUGCAAAUGGGUAUAUGCAAAGAAGGAAGGAUUUCCUGGUAAAAAUGAAAUUCGAUACAAGGCUAGAUUGGUAGCAAAAGGUUACGCUCAGAAAGAAGGAAUAGACUACAAUGAAGUGUUUUCUCCAGUUGUGAAGCAUUCAUCUAUUCGGAUUUUGCUAGCCUUGGUUGCGCAAUAUGAUCUUGAACUAGUUCAGCUUGAUGUGAAGACCGCGUUUUUACACGGUGAUUUGGAAGAGGAAAUCUAUAUGACUCAGCCAGAUGGAUUCAAGGUUGCUGGAAAAGAAAAUUGGGUUUGCAAACUGACAAAGUCGCUUUAUGGAUUGAAGCAAUCUCCGAGGCAGUGGUACAAGCGAUUUGAUCAGUUCAUGAAAGGGCAAAGGUACACAAGAAGUAAAUUUGAUCAUUGCGUGUAUUUUCAGAAGCUACAAGAAGGAACUUUCAUAUACUUGCUCUUAUAUGUUGAUGAUAUGCUAAUAGCAUCUAAGAGCAAAGUUGAGAUUGAAAGAUUGAAGACUCAACUCAAUCUCGAGUUUGAGAUGAAAGAUCUAGGAGAAGCUAAAAAGAUUCUCGGCAUGGAAAUAUGUAGAGAUAGAGCUCAUGGCAGAGUUAGCUUGUCUCAGAAGCAGUAUUUGAAGAAAGUACUACAGCAGUUUGGCAUGAACGAGCAGACCAAACCUGUAAGUACCCCGUUGGCUUCUCAUUUCAAGCUUUCUGCGCAACUAUCUCCUUCGACAAAUACGGAACGAGAAUACAUGUUGCAAGUUCCGUAUUCUAAUGCAGUGGGUAGCUUGAUGUAUGCAAUGGUGUGUACAAGACCCGACAUUUCACAGGCAGUUAGUAUAGUGAGCAGGUAUAUGCAUAAUCCUGGAAAAGGACAUUGGCAAGCUGUGAAAUGGAUUCUACGGUAUAUUCAGAAGACCGUGGAUGUUGGAUUACUGUUCAAGCAGGAUAAUACACUUGGUAAAGGUGUUAUUGGGUACGUUGAUUCUGACUAUGCCGGUGAUUUGGACAAGCGAAGAUCAACCACCGGUUAUGUGUUUACACUUGCUGGAGGACCAAUAAGUUGGAAGUCUACACUACAGUCUACAGUUGCAUUGUCAACCACAGAAGCCGAGUACAUGGCAGUAACAGAGGCUGUAAAGGAGGCUAUUUGGUUACAAGGUAUGGCUAAAACCUUGGGGUUGGUUCAGGAGCAUAUUAACGUGUAUUGUGAUAGUCAAAGUGCUAUUCAUUUAGCAAAGAAUCAAGUCUAUCAUGCACGUACAAAACAUAUCGACGUACGAUUCCAUUUUGUGCGGGAAAUUAUUGAAGAGGGGAAAAUUUGUCUUCAGAAGAUCAAGACUGCAGAUAAUCCCGCAGAUAUGAUGACCAAUGUGGUAACAUCAACCAAGUUCGAACAUUGUUUGAACUUGAUUAAUAUCCUGCAAGUUUAACAGUUGAAGAAGGCACUAUCAAGUAUUGUUGUCAAAGGCAGAAAGAAUUGUGUGAAGAUAAGAUUAUCCUAAUCAAAUCUUCAAGGUGGAGAUUAUUGGAACCCACCCACUGUUUGAAAAGUCAAAAAGGGUGGGCACCGAAAGUAGAAAGUAAAAUUGGUUGGCAAGUUGGGUUAAAAGUUGGCAUGGGAUAAUUGCAAUUUUGGUCCCUAAUUGUAUAGGGACAUUGCAAGUUGAUCCUUGAACCUCAACUAUAAAUAGGCCUAAUCAUUUCUUACUUUCUUCAUCCCACACUUGCCAUUCUCUACUUAAGGCAAUUGUUCUCUCUCCCUAUUUGUAAACUUUCACUUGUAUUUUUGGAGUGAAAUAUAUUUGGUAGUGCCCGAGGACGUAGGCAAAAUUUGCUGAACCUCGUUAAAAUUCUAGUAUUCUUUAUUUUUUUGUUCUGCAUAUUUUGCAAGUGUCAUUGUAGUAAUUUAUUGUGCUAUUAAAUUACGAUAGAGGGAUAUUCUGGCUAGGAAAGAUCUGGUAUGUAAGCGAUCCUCGUGAUCCACCUCUCUUUCCUGGGAAUUGAACUUAGUGUGAUUUUUCAGUACAAUAAUUUUACUCUUUCACACGCUUCCGCGCAACAGUUUUGAUGUAUUGAUACAUUUUCUUUUGUCUUAUAACUUACACACCGGGGUAGUUAGAGGCUCUAGCCCCUUAAAAUAGAAAAUUUAUUUUUUAGUACCUCUACUAAUACAUGAUAAAGUUGCAUUUCAAUUCUCCAAAAACAGAUAAAAUUGUGAAUUAAUUUCUAUACAAUAAUAAUUUUGCAUUUCAACUUUUAUUUCAACCCUAAAAAAUUUUUUGAUUUCGUCCUUCACUCUAGUUUCAUCCAAAGAUCGAAAUUAUUAGAUUUUUCUAGAAAACGAAAGACAUUUUCGACAAACUUGUUUUAGUCAUUGGCAAAUUAAGUUGGGUAGUGGUAUGGAUGAGUUAUAGGAGAUUGGAAAAGCGUCAUCGUAAAACAUGUCCCUUAAACAAGAAGGAAUCAUCACAUGGUUCAAAUAAAAAAUGGGGUUUUAAGAAUAAGAAUGAUCACAUGGUUAAAAAUGAUGCCAAGACAAAAGUAUCCACUGUUCCCCUUCCCUGUCGGAGAUUCUCAUCUUCAUUGAUUAUGGUGCAACAGAUUCUUAUAUGAACAAAUGCUCCAUUAAAAAUAGCCCAAUAAAUAGAUUUUUUGGAUAAAAUUUCCUAUAUAAUGGGGAGCUCAAAGAUUGAUCAAAUAAAGUUGUAAUAAAAAUAAUUGUGAUAAAAGUUAUUAAUUUAAGAUAUUAAAAUAUUAUGCCAAUCGAUAUAAGUAAAUGUAAAUCGAUAUUAAUCGAAACAACAUUGCAUUAGAACAUAAUUUGAAUUACAUGAUACGAAAAUUUUAUAUAUCAAUUAAUGUGAUCAAUACAAAAAAAAUAUUGAUUAUCAUGAUACAGAUACAUAUCCGUCAUUUCAAUCGAACUAUUUAAUUUAAAAGUAUUACAAUUAAAUUAUUCAAUUUAAAAAUUAAAAGUAUCACGACGAUUCUUAUAUUAAGACUUAAAUUAUAUUUUUAUCUUAUUUAUUUUUUAAAAUUAGACAUAUAUAAAUUAAUUAUUGUAUAUAAAUAGCAAAUUAGCUAAGUAAUUAUACUUAAAACACGAUGUAUAAAUGCAUGAUGAGUUAAGAUGAAUUAGUAGAGUGUUUUACUUUUACCCUGGAAUUUAAAGUAGAAGCAUCUGCAAUAAUAAGAAAGUGAAGAAGAUAGCAGAUUUUUAUUACACAAUGGAAACACUGAAAAUGAGGAGGUGGAGGAACUCUUCUCAUACCGGACCCCACACACUUCACUAAAUCCAAUUGCAUUGGAAGACAACACUUGAAACACAACAAUACUAAUAAGUUACCAAAUUGACAGUCCAGACACAAUAAUUUUUAACACCAGACCAAACUCAACUCAUGGAACUAACAUCUGUUAUCUUAGCCACACGUGGGAGGAGGAAACUAAAUUGCAAGAACAAGACCUGGAACCGAUUUCCCCACCCGGUUGGAAAGACUACUCUCCCAAACGUAAGGGCAAUACACUGGCGCAAUCUCCGCCGUCGAAGAACUGCAAGCUGACGGUGGAGAGUCUCUAAGGCGAGUAACGGUGAGAGAAGUGUUGAAAUACUCCCUCACUUGGGUGAUUAUCCCAUCACGAACAGUCCAAGCGUGAACCCAGGAGAUCGAACGGCUGUUAUCACAGCCUUCAACGAUGACGGUGGAUCCAAAGGUGGUGACUGAGACAGGGUCGACCUCGAAACGGAAAGGAUCGUCGGAUGAAGCGCCGGUGAGUAAGCGCAUCAAAAACUGGUGAGUGGGUGGACCGUGGAACCACCACUCUAGGUCGGGAGCAAGGAUUUGGUGAACGGUGUUGACGUCUCGUGUGUUUAAGGCUUCAUAGAGGGCAAGAACCACCGCUUG